Molecule: non-coding RNA, 294 nt
Organism: Chiloscyllium plagiosum (whitespotted bambooshark)
Lineage: Eukaryota; Metazoa; Chordata; Chondrichthyes; Orectolobiformes; Hemiscylliidae
Source: RefSeq, a predicted model, not a curated record
GGAAGGUGCUCUGGGUUCGAGUGGAACCAGGAUCUGCUCUGUUCACCUGACCUUGUUCAAAAACAAAGAAUUAUAAUGAUCAUGACCUCAAUAUUGCAUUGAUUAUUUAAUGUCUUCCUACUCAGCUGCUAGUGAUGUACAGGAGCUCUCUCUUUUGUCUUUUUCCAGGCAAAUAUUUGAUGGACCAAUCCGAGAGCGACCAGCUGUUUCUCACAAUCAACAGACAAUUACUUGAAGGACCAAGACACUGUAAUAUGUGCUCAGUACAAAGCCAAGUGUGAUCAGUUCCUUCGA